This 1106-nucleotide long non-coding RNA is filed under the name Equus caballus (horse). Its description in RNAcentral is "lncRNA (ENSECAG00000035336.3)". The record is from RNAcentral. Lineage: Eukaryota; Metazoa; Chordata; Mammalia; Perissodactyla; Equidae.
GUUACAACCUGCGUAAGUUUACAAAGGCUGCGCUGGUAAAUUCAGGCGGCCGGGGGCGGGCCCGCUGCGCUCUCCGGGCCUCCUCCCGCCGCGUCUCCGGCUGCAGCCGCAAACCCAGGCCCCGUGGAGAAAGCGAUCCAGAACCGCAGUUGCCCGCUGCUCCUUCUGUCUCGGAUUUGCGCACACAGACAGCCCCUCCCCCACGUGUUGGCGACUGUUCAUCAUUCUUCUCUUCCAACAAUCAGUCUCAUCUCGAUUCGGAUCCACUGAGAACCAGUCCCCUACAAAAAAACUCCUCGCGCAGCCCAGCGAAGAGCUCUGCGGGACUCCGCAGCGCCCAAACUCAGUUCGGGCCCGGAGAGAUUCUCUCCUACUGUGGGGUUUUCAAUCAAUUCUCAUCUGUCGCUGGGGCAUAGGAGAGGUGCGAGGUUUGGGGAGAGCUAAAGGAGAAUGUGCUCUGAGGUUCCUGCCUUACUGAAGGCUAGUUCUGGCCGGGCUUUUGACUACUCGGUCUAUGUGGACAGCUACACAGCAUUCAAGGGCACUUCUACUUUUGGACCUCAGAGCAAAUGAGAAGGCGAAAGUUCGGACUUGAAGACCCGUCUGUACAGUUAGGCGAGCAAGGACCAUACUUGGAGAACCAUGCUAUAGAACAUCAGAGAGAGAAGACAGUGGGAUCAUUUGGGGAUGGAAGAGAGAGAGUUUUCUAAAGGAAGAAUUGCUGGAAAGAACAACAACAACAAAGGGCCCACUCUACCACUCUACUCACUGGUUAAGACUUCAUCGCCUCCUGAUGCAGAAGCAACAGAACAGAUUUUUCUUCAGUAUUUGAAGCUGAAGAGCUUUUGUCAAGAUAUGCAACCUCUUUGAACUUCUGUUUCCUGUUCUGUAUAAAUAGGAGUAAUAAUAAAGCCAACUUCUGUGCAUUGCUCUUAGGAGUUAAUGAAAUAACAUACCAAUGGUAUAGCAGCAUUCACCUCAGUGUUUCGUCCUCAAAUAAAUGAUUAUUGACUCAGAGCAUACAUAUUAUUUAUCCAAAGGCAAAUAGCCUGUACGCCUGUACGUAAAUUAAUGUAUCCGGCAAUAAUAAAAACUGCCUGUACGAA